CGCCUGUUUAUCAAAAACAUGGCUCUCUGUAUAUUGAAGAUAGAGAGUCGGACCUGCCCGGUGAAUUUUUUAACGGCCGCGGUACUCUGACCGUGCAAAGGUAGCAAAAUCAUUUGCCUUAUAAUUGAAGGCUAGAAUGAAUGGUUUGACAAGAAUACAACUGUCUCUUUACAAUUACAUAAAAUUUUAUCUGCAGUUGAAGAAGCCUGCAUUUGAAUAAAAGACAAGAAGACCCUAUCGAGCUUAAAAAAAACUGGUGGAAUAACAAACUUAAUCCUAACUUAUAAAUAAAUAAAUAGUCAACUACUGGAAAUUUUGGUUGGGGCGACCGGGGAACAAAAAAAACUUCCUUUAUAAAAAUUUAGAUGCCCAAAUAUUGAUCCAGCAUUAUAUGAUUAAAGAAAUUAGUUACUCGUAGGGAUAACAGCAUUAUCUUUUUUAAGAGUUCUUAUCGAAAAAAAGGUUUGUGACCUCGAUGUUGGACCAGAAUAUCGCUAAAGAUGCAGCCGUCUUUAAGGGUUGGUCUGUUCGACCAUUAAAAUUCUACGUGAUCUGAGUUCA
RNAcentral lists this ribosomal RNA (561 nucleotides) under Turbinella rapa. RNAcentral's name for it is "partial 16S ribosomal RNA". It matches the Rfam family "Bacterial large subunit ribosomal RNA", at positions 1797 to 2613 of the family's 2925-position model. The record is from RNAcentral. Lineage: Eukaryota; Metazoa; Mollusca; Gastropoda; Neogastropoda; Turbinellidae.